GAUGAACGCUAGCUACAGGCUUAACACAUGCAAGUCGCGGGGCAGCAUGGGGGUUGCUUGCACUCCCCGAUGGCGACCGGCGCACGGGUGAGUAACGCGUAUCCAACCUGCCCUUCACCACGGGAUAACCCGGCGAAAGUCGGACUAAUACCGUAUGUUGUCCAUUGACGGCAUCCGAUUUGGACGAAAGGUUUGGCGGUGAAGGAUGGGGAUGCGUCCGAUUAGCUGGACGGCGGGGUGACGGCCCACCGUGGCGACGAUCGGUAGGGGCUCUGAGAGGAAGGUCCCCCACACUGGAACUGAGACACGGUCCAGACUCCUACGGGAGGCAGCAGUGAGGAAUAUUGGUCAAUGGGCGUAAGCCUGAACCAGCCAAGUAGCGUGCAGGAGGACGGCCCUAUGGGUUGUAAACUGCUUUUAUGCGGGGAUAAAGUGGCCCACGUGUGGGUUUUUGCAGGUACCGCAUGAAUAAGGACCGGCUAAUUCCGUG
RNAcentral lists this ribosomal RNA (490 nucleotides) under uncultured bacterium. RNAcentral's name for it is "partial 16S ribosomal RNA". It matches the Rfam family "Bacterial small subunit ribosomal RNA", at positions 28 to 507 of the family's 1533-position model. The record is from RNAcentral.